Mastomys coucha (southern multimammate mouse) is the source of this 675-nucleotide long non-coding RNA. RefSeq lists it as uncharacterized. Lineage: Eukaryota; Metazoa; Chordata; Mammalia; Rodentia; Muridae. The record is from RefSeq and is a predicted model, not a curated record. The transcript has 4 exons.
UGAGUCGACUUGGGGAGCUCGUCACCGAUGCCCUGCCACCCCGUUUAUUGCUUUGUCGUUAGAACUUGAAUCCUAACAGGCUCCCAGCUUGGUUUCUCCAGUUAUGCGCAUGUUAUAGCAACACCAUCUGACUGCAAGACUCAAAGUUCUAUUUUAGAAUCGAAUUCUAGGCGAGCGUCGUGGCCAGAACCUUUAAUCCCAGCGUUUGGGAAGCAGAGGGGGCGGAUCUCUGCGAAUUCGAGGCCAUCGUGGACUACAGAGCGAGUUCUUAGGACGGCCAGGGCUACUCAGAGAAACCCUGUCUCUAAAAUCCAAGAAGUAAAAAGAUUUUCUUCUUGCCUCAAGUGAAUGACCUGACUCUCCUGACUCUGAUAGUCGCGCAGACCCCAGAGGAAUGAAAUAUGAAUCAGGCUGCAUCAGUUACAAGCAAUAUCAAGUGUUACUGCAUGUAGUUAUCUUGAUGUCUGAAAAGAUUUUUUUUUUGGUGUAUCCAGAUGAUGAAGAGACAAAUAUGAAAGAAUGAACGUCAGUGCCUAGAAAACAAAAACAGCACAGAGAAAAGUGGGCGGUCAUGGAGAAGACCUUCACCCAUAGAGCUGUUGUAGAAGGCCUCUCUGCACUUCCAGCCGUGAUCACCACCAAGCUAAGCCAAACUCUAGCCUGCCACCCACAGAG